RNAcentral lists this ribosomal RNA (492 nucleotides) under uncultured bacterium. RNAcentral describes it as "partial 16S ribosomal RNA". It matches the Rfam family "Bacterial small subunit ribosomal RNA", at positions 29 to 507 of the family's 1533-position model. The record is from RNAcentral.
AGUGAACGCUGGCGGUAGGCCUAACACAUGCAAGUCGAACGGCAGCACAGUAAGAGCUUGCUCUUACGGGUGGCGAGUGGCGGACGGGUGAGGCAUACAUCGGAAUCUACUUUUUCGUGGGGGAUAACGUAGGGAAACUUACGCUAAUACCGCAUACGAUCUACGGGUGAAAGCAGGGGAUCUUCGGACCUUGCGCGAUUGAAUGAGCCGAUGUCGGAUUAGCUAGUUGGCGGAGUAAAGGCCCACCAAGGCGACGAUCCGUAGCUGGUCUGAGAGGAUGAUCAGCCACACUGGAACUGAGACACGGUCCAGACUCCUACGGGAGGCAGCAGUGGGGAAUCUUGGACAAUGGGCGCAAGCCUGAUCCAGCCAUACCGCGUGAGUGAAGAAGGCCUUCGGGUUGUAAAGCCCUUUUGUUGGGAAAGAAAAGCUGCAGGUGAAUACCCCGCUGUUCUGACGGUACCCAAAGAAUAAGCACCGGCUAACUUCGUG